Molecule: ribosomal RNA, 492 nt
Filed under: uncultured bacterium
Lineage: Bacteria
Description: partial 16S ribosomal RNA
Rfam family: Bacterial small subunit ribosomal RNA
Source: RNAcentral
AGUGAACGCUGGCGGUAGGCCUAACACAUGCAAGUCGAACGGCAGCACAGCAAGAGCUUGCUCUUACGGGUGGCGAGUGGCGGACGGGUGAGGAAUACAUCGGAAUCUACUUUUUCGUGGGGGAUAACGUAGGGAAACUUACGCUAAUACCGCAUACGACCUACGGGUGAAAGCAGGGGAUCUUCGGACCUUGCGCGAUUGAAUGAGCCGAUGUCGGAUUAGCUAGUUGGCGGGGUAAAGGCCCACCAAGGCGACGAUCCGUAGCUGGUCUGAGAGGAUGAUCAGCCACACUGGAACUGAGACACGGUCCAGACUCCUACGGGAGGCAGCAGUGGGGAAUAUUGGACAAUGGGCGCAAGCCUGAUCCAGCCAUACCGCGUGGGUGAAGAAGGCCUUCGGAUUGUAAAGCCCUUUUGUUGGGAAAGAAAAGCAGCAGGUUAAUACCCCGCUGUUCUGACGGUACCCAAAGAAUAAGCACCGGCUAACUUCGUG